AAAUCGGAUACAAAACGCGCGCGUAGGGUACUAGUUAAAAAUUGAUUUGACGUAUCAAAGGAUUUGACGUCAAGCGUCUUUUGUACGCAAAGGCUACAGAGCCGAAAUUCAUUUCCUUUUCUCUGCUACAAUGGCCGGCUAGACUGCAGCAAAGGAACAACCAAAGUCACCAUUUCUUUUCUUCUAAAACUCAACCAAAUUCUUACCAAAACUUCCCUAGAUUCUCACCAAACUUCACAUUCGUUUAGCUUUUCACUUGGACAACAACUUAGGCUGGAAAAGGGAGGAGUUUCACGGCUGUCUUCAGGCUUCAUAGGGACCGAAAUUUUCUGAUUUGAACAGCCAUCAAAGUAGGCACGCACGAGGACCUCCAAGAGGACCCUACUGUGGAAGUUUGAACUCUUCCUCCAAUUUACUUGCUUGCAUAACUUGGUUUGAACUCGGAGGUAAAAUGGAGAAGCCCUCUUGAUGUACUUUUGUUUAGGGCUUGUUAUUACUUUUGGUUAUGCCUUUGGUUUUGGAAUUGUACUUUUGGUAUGGAAAUGUGACCCUGAGAACUGUCACAGUUGGUAUCAGAGCCAUAUGCCGACAGUUGGGAUCUUAAGUCCUUCGUCUGGAAAAGCCCCGAGCCUCUCGUUCGUGAAGAGUCACGAAGCGAAACUCUCCGUAAGGGAUGCCCGCGUGCGGGUGGCAAGCUGAUAGGUACCCCGUGAUGUGACCCUUUGGACAAAAUGUAAUCUGUAUUCUGACGUGUGGUUUGGAGAAUGGAUGACUAUUAUUAAGUUUGAAUACUUCCGCAUUUAGUGUAUCUAAAUUAUUGGCUUGUAUUGUGUGGUCCGGCUAUAAGUUGAAUGGAAUUGCUUGAGUCCUGGCGAGAGCUAGGCAGGCGUUCCGCGGAUACCCUUUGGUUCGCCUUAGGGAGAAGUGGGGGCGUCACACAAGGCACAGCCUUAGCCCUCGUAAAAAUACUGAUCAUUGGAAAAGAAUAUAUAACAAUUCUAGUUGCAAAUAGGUACAUAAUAUCAUAAUUACCAUUCAUAGAUAGCUGUCAACAAUUUCAGUAGCAGUUGCACACAUUCCAGUACAAUUAAGUCCCAAGUAGAGAUACAUAAUGCAUGCUCAUAGUUACAUAAUAUCAUAUAUUAUGAUUCAUUAACUUCUAGUCAUAGCGAGAAUGUUAAUGGAUUCUAAUAUGAUGGCAAAAGAUAGCAUGCUAAAAGUUCAGUAGCAUCCAUGAUGAACAAAAGGAUGAACAACAAAAGGAUGAACAAAAGAGGACAUGAAGCUGUGUGACUGCUUCAUUUUGCAGAUUCACGUUGCUUCUUGAGAGGGCUCAUAUGAGCAGAUUUUGAAGAUGCAGGCUUCUUGUCUUCAGAACCAUUUUUUCCAGCAAUUGAGGGAACAGCUUCAAUGGUUGUCUUCUCAGCAGAAGGUGGAGUUUCAAAAGUUAAGCUUCUUUUUGCAGCAAUGUUUGAAGAGCCUGGCUUAUCUGCAUUAUCAGACUUGCGCCCAAUUGAAUCUAGGAUCAUUUUUGUUGUUGGGCUGAAGAAUUGCCCUUCAGUGGCGAGUUGGUCAGUGAAAGUGGAGCGAGCAGUUAAGUCAACAUGUUCAAUGGUGCUGGUCGGCUUCUCAGUUAUGGUUGGAGCAGUUGGAAUAGGCUCUUCCACAGGAUUAGAGACAACUGUGCGCGUGAUUGCCAGAUGGACAUCUGAUGAUCCAUUCCAAAUUAGCAUCUACAGCCUUUUGACAGUUACUACAUGCAGCAUACCAGAAAGAUCGCUGCUCAACUGCCAAAGAAGUAUUUCCUCGUAUCCAGGCAGUCUUGACCUAUAGUUUAUAUUGUAUUAGAUGCAAAGUUAAGUAAUUCAUUUUUCACUAAUGUAAAAGGUAAGAAAAUAGUAUAAGUCAGUUGGUGAUAUGACCGUAUUUACAUUUUUCAGCAUGCUCAUAGCGUUCUCAAUACUAAUGAUAUCAUUAUUUUUGGGCGGAGGCAGCAAUUUGGUUGAGUCUUUGUAACUGCCCUCCCCAAUUAGUUGUGCAAUUUGCUGCCGAUUCU
Coffea arabica (coffee) is the source of this 2056-nucleotide long non-coding RNA. RefSeq lists it as uncharacterized. The record is from RefSeq and is a predicted model, not a curated record. NCBI's taxonomy places the organism in Eukaryota, Viridiplantae, Streptophyta, Magnoliopsida, Gentianales, Rubiaceae.